CCUACGGGCGGCAGCAGUGGGGGAUAUUGCACAAUGGGGGAAACCCUGAUGCAGCGACGCCGCGUGAGUGAAGAAGUAUUUCGGUAUGUAAAGCUCUAUCAGCAGGGAAGAAAAAAGCCGGUACCUGCCUAAGAACCCCCGCUAAAGACGUGCCAGCCGCCGCGGUAAUACGUAGGGGGCCAGCGGUAUUCGGAUUUACUGGGUGGAAAGGGAGCGUAGACGGCCAUACAAGUCGGAAGUGAAAUACCCGGGCUCAACCCGGGAACUGCAUUGGAAAAUGUAUGGCUGGAGUGCUGGAGAGGUAAGCGGAAUUCCUAGUGGAGCGGUGAAAUGCGUAGAUAUUAGGAGGAACAUCAGUGGCGAAGGCGGCUUACUGGACAGUAACUGACGUUGAGGCUCGAAAGCGUGGGGAGCAAACAGGAUUAGAUACCCUGGUAGUC
This 440-nucleotide ribosomal RNA is filed under the name uncultured bacterium. RNAcentral's name for it is "partial 16S ribosomal RNA". It matches the Rfam family "Bacterial small subunit ribosomal RNA", at positions 338 to 795 of the family's 1533-position model. The record is from RNAcentral.